Molecule: ribosomal RNA, 749 nt
Filed under: Actinomycetes bacterium
Lineage: Bacteria; Bacillati; Actinomycetota; Actinomycetes
Description: bacterial SSU rRNA
Rfam family: Bacterial small subunit ribosomal RNA
Source: RNAcentral
GCAUUGCGACGGCCUACCAUGCGUGUCGAGCGGAUGAAUUGAGCUUGCUCUCUGAUUCAGCGGCGGACGGGUGAGUAAUGCCUAGGAAUCUGCCUGGUAGUGGGGGACAACGUUUCGAAAGGAACGCUAAUACCGCAUACGUCCUACGGGAGAAAGCAGGGGACCUUCGGGCCUUGCGCUAUCAGAUGAGCCUAGGUCGGAUUAGCUAGUUGGUGAGGUAAUGGCUCACCAAGGCGACGAUCCGUAACUGGUCUGAGAGGAUGAUCAGUCACACUGGAACUGAGACACGGUCCAGACUCCUACGGGAGGCAGCAGUGGGGAAUAUUGGACAAUGGGCGAAAGCCUGAUCCAGCCAUGCCGCGUGUGUGAAGAAGGUCUUCGGAUUGUAAAGCACUUUAAGUUGGGAGGAAGGGCAGUAAGUUAAUACCUUGCUGUUUUGACGUUACCGACAGAAUAAGCACCGGCUAACUUCGUGCCAGCAGCCGCGGUAAUACGAAGGGUGCAAGCGUUAAUCGGAAUUACUGGGCGUAAAGCGCGCGUAGGUGGUUUGUUAAGUUGGAUGUGAAAGCCCCGGGCUCAACCUGGGAACUGCAUCCAAAACUGGCAAGCUAGAGUAUGGCAGAGGGUGGUGGAAUUUCCUGUGUAGCGGUGAAAUGCGUAGAUAUAGGAAGGAACACCAGUGGCGAAGGCGACCACCUGGGCUAAUACUGACACUGAGGUGCGAAAGCGUGGGGAGCAAACAGGAUUAG